GCUACUUAACUGCAUUAUAUCUUAAUUACUACAUUAAAUAUGUUAACUAGUUACUACAUUAACUACAGGAAGACAUGGACAGCAUGUGGUGACAACAGCAUUCAGAGUCAGUACAUGGUGGUUGGGAAGCAUUGGGAGACAACUCUCACAGGCUGAGGGGAAACCUUCCACUGAGUCAGCAGAUCCUGGAUAGAGGCGGAGCACACAACGGACAAAGCAAGGCUAGGAGAGCAGGGUUUGCUCAGAGAAGGCUCAGGGUGUGCAAACUGCAAAAGGUCAUAAUCUGCAGGUGCAAAUACAUUCACCAUACUUCUCUGGAGUACAGCUUGAUUCUGAUAAAGGAAGGAGGAAGGCUGAAUUCCCCUUUGUUACAUGCAGAUUAG
Molecule: long non-coding RNA, 383 nt
Filed under: Anas platyrhynchos platyrhynchos (common mallard)
Lineage: Eukaryota; Metazoa; Chordata; Aves; Anseriformes; Anatidae
Description: lncRNA (ENSAPLG00000026458.1)
Source: RNAcentral